AUGCGGUAUGACGGUACCCUUUCGAAUAAGAGGUUGCUAACUCUGUGCCAGCAGCAGCGGUAAUACAGAGACCUCGAGCGUUAUCCGGAUUUACUGGGCGUAAAGCGUCUGUAGGGGGUUUGUUAAGUUCCAAGUAAAAUCUUAAGGCUCAACUUUAAGUUCGCUUGGAAAACUAAUAAACUGGAGUCCAGCAGAGGUGCAUGGAACUUGCGGUGUAGGAGUGAAAUCCGUUGAUAUCGCAAGGAACACCAAAGGCGAAGGCAUUGCACUGGGCUGGUACUGACCCUGAGAGACGAAAGCGUGGGGAGCAAAACGGAUUAGAUACCCGUGUAGUCCACGCCGUAAACGAUGGAUACUAGAUGUUCGGGGAUUCGACCCCCUGGGUGUCACAGCUAACGCGUUAAGUAUCCCGCCUGGGAAGUACGGCCGCAAGGCUAAAACUCAAAGGAAUAGACGGGGAUCCGCACAAGCGGUGGAGCGUCUGGUUUAAUUUGAUAGUAAGCAAUGGACCUCACCAAGGUUUGACAUCCUAUGACAACCCUGGAAACAGGGCUUCCUUCGGGCAUAGUGACAGGUGCUGCAUGGUCGUCGUCAGUUCGUGCCGUGAGGUGUUCCGUUAAGUCGGGAAACGAACGAAACCCUCGUCGCAUGUUACAAAUUUCAUGCGAGACUGCCCGGGUCAACCGGGAGGAAGGCGGGGAUGACGUCAGAUCAGCAUGGCCCUUAUACCUUGGGCUACACAGGCGCUACAAUGGCCGGUACAAAGGGUUGCAAAACCGCGAGGUGAAGCUAAUCCCAUAAAGCCGGUCCAAGUUCGGAUUGGAGGCUGCAACUCGCCUCCAUGAAGUUGGAAUCGCUAGUAAUCGUGGCUCAGCCAUACCACGGUGAUACGUUCCCGGAUCUUGUACUCACCGCCCGUCACACCAAGAGAGUUGG
This 936-nucleotide ribosomal RNA is filed under the name uncultured organism. RNAcentral's name for it is "bacterial SSU rRNA". It matches the Rfam family "Bacterial small subunit ribosomal RNA", at positions 462 to 1414 of the family's 1533-position model. The record is from RNAcentral.